AUGAUUUCUUCUUUAUAAAGUUACCUUUCUAUAAUAUUAAAAUUCUUUGUUACAGUAUGCUUUAAUCCGUGUAAUGUUGUUUCCUCGCAAAAUUUUGUGUAUAAAGAGCUGGUGAACAAGAUGGAUUCCUUGAUAAGUGCCACCAUUGAUUUCAUAACAGCUCGCCAAGUGAACAUAGUGGUGGCUGUAGUGCUGACUUUUCUCUAUCUCGUGUACCAAUACAAAGAUGUGCUGGUUACGAUGAUAGACCAGCCAGUUUGCAAGAACUCAUUACACAGGUCUCGCUCGAGGUCUCGUUCCUGCUGCAAACGUUAUCCAUGUGACAAGAACUGUUAUCGCGGACUCCAUCCAGGUCGUCUGUGCCAGUACUGCACCCACUGUAACAUCGAUAAUAGGGAUUAAAUUGUUCUGAGGAGUCAUUUUUUUUAUUUAUUAAAUUUGAUCUAUCUAUUUUAAAACUAACGGA
Pieris rapae (cabbage white) is the source of this 466-nucleotide long non-coding RNA. RefSeq lists it as uncharacterized. The transcript is spliced from 3 exons. The record is from RefSeq and is a predicted model, not a curated record. Lineage: Eukaryota; Metazoa; Arthropoda; Insecta; Lepidoptera; Pieridae.